This 26946-nucleotide long non-coding RNA is filed under the name Nicotiana benthamiana. RNAcentral describes it as "long non-coding RNA (NBEN_LNC034417)". The record is from RNAcentral. Lineage: Eukaryota; Viridiplantae; Streptophyta; Magnoliopsida; Solanales; Solanaceae.
CUCUACCCCAGGGUAGGGAUAAGGUCUGCGUACGUACUACCCUUCUAAGACCCCACUAAGUGGGAUUAUACAGGGUUGUUGUUGUUCUUUGAAGGAUUGGACUUUGUGCAUGUAGUUUGAAUGGCCUGUCUUUGUUUGGCAACUCUCAUUGGAAGUUGCCUUACGUUUGCAUCUGCAUUCACCCUACCGUCCCAAAUUUUAUCUUUUGUACGAGCCUUCUUACGUUUUCCACUAUGCAUUGGUGAUAUGUCACCUUUUCUUGCUGACUCUGUCCAGCAUUGAUUUAGUAUAUCAUCUUCAUCACCCUCUACAUAUGUAUCUCUGCCCACAAUCACCGAAUUUGGUAUGUUUUGAUCAAAGCCUUGUGUCACCAUAGUGUUUCCAUCCUAUUUUUUAACCAAAGCUGUCUUGUUUUGUGCUAUGUUUUACAAUUUUUUCCUGCUCCAACUCACACGACAAGUGCUAGAAGCAAUAACAUUUAAAGAUCGAGGAUCUGAACUUACCAUUGCAUCUAGUAGUUGUUGCUCCUCUAAUGAAAUCACUGGUGUUGAUGCCACAAUUUGUUUCUGCCCAAAAUUUGAUGUUGUUGCUCCUUUUCGAUCGUCAGAAGGACCAAUAGCUGGAGUGACUGGAUAGAGUUGGUGUUGCUGUUUAUUAGCAUUUGAAAGUGCUAUUGAUGAUUAUUAGCAUUUGAAUGUACUGCUGUUUGUUCCUGAUUAGCACUUGGCAGUACUGCUGCUAUUUGCUGGUGCUGUUGUUCAGUUUUGGAGAUUACAGCUUUUGGUACAUUUGCAAUUUGCGGUUGCUGUUCAAAAACUGCUGUGGUUACUGUCUUUUGUUCGUCUGCACAUGUAAUAGCUUGUGUGACUGUAAUAUCUUCCUGUUGGUUGGGCCUACUUGAUGUUGCAUUUUUCUUUCGAAAAAUCUCCUGCUAUACCUAUUCACACUAUUGCUGUCCAGUUUUAGGCAAAAAACUGGUGCUUUCACGUUAAGUUUGCUGCUGGAAAUUAGCAUUGCAGGACUGCUUAUUUUUGGUACUGAUGGUGAACCAACUGAGAGUAAGUCUUCAUCUUCACUCUCUUAAUAAGUCUUCAUCUUCACUCUCUUAAUCAUUAUCCUCGCUCGAAUUCCCAACAUACGCAUCACCAUAAUCUUCCUCAUCAUCAUAUUCGCGGUUAUUUGCCCAUAGCUUAGAUUUGAUUGCUAUCACCCUCAAGUUUGCCUUUAUAACUUCAUUGUUAUUUCCAUAUGACAAUAUCAACUCACCUCCAUAUUCACCACAAGAUCCAAAGACUGUGAUGGCACCUCAUAAACUGAGGUGUUCAAUGUGACCAUUAGUUGUUUAACCAUGUUAGUAUGCAUCAUCAUUGCAUUUUGGGCAUCUUUGAUAAUUUGUUCAACACGAGGGCUGGAAAAAUGCAAAGUAGGAAUGUUAGAGCUAUGUUCCUUACCACUUAAUUCCUCCAUCCCAUUUUUCUUUGAAGCCUGCUGUCGCACACCAAUUUUCCAUAGCCAAAUUCGCAUUGGCUUGAGCUUCUUUUCCACUACUAGGGCAUGGAACUAUUUGCUUGGUCAUCUUAUCAUGUUUUAGACUUGUUGAAUCCAGUUGUUCAUCCUCUAUAGAUGCCAGUGCGUCAAAGACAUUUGGGUUGGCCACCAAGCUAUUUUCAUUUCGUCGAACAGCUUGAACCUGUCGUUUUGGUGAUAGUCCUUUCUUUAUAGGAGAUUUUUUGGUGUUUACCACAUUCCAAACUUCUCCUUUUCUAUUUUGAUCCUUCCCCGUAUCAUCACUCUUUGCAUAUCCUGCCUUAUCGUCCAAUAAUUCACCUUUUUUUCUUCUCUCUUCUCCUCAAAAGGUCUGGGACUCACUAUUAUUACAGACCAUUGGUGCUGCAAUUUGCCCAGCUGCUUCAGUGCCUAGAUUUUGGACCUCACUUUCAAUUACAAUCUGUGGAACCUUAGCACCUGGACUCUGUACCAUAGCUCCUCGAUCAUUAGACUGAAAUUGCCUCGACUCACCAGCUCGAUCAAAAGCCUCUUUCAAUCUGCUGCAGAUAAUGCAACAACUGCAUUAUUAGAAUAAUGCAACUUAUCAUAUGAUUGCACAUCUGGAUUUACUGCCUCGAAAUUUUGCAAAACCUGAUGACCAACUACAGGUUCUUUUGAGCCUGUAAUAAUUGCAGACUCCACACCAUCAUUCACUACAUGUUGUUGAACCUUCUGAAUCACCUCAUUACUAAUAGGAUCACUUUUAUUGUUCUCAAUUUCCUUAACACAAUCUGCAGCAAUUUUUGAAAUUCCACCAGGUGACAAUAUAGCUGCAGCACUAGCCAGCUUGUCAUAGGCUUGUGCAACUGAUUCACAAUAUUAGAAAUUCUUGCUAAGGCAAUUCUAGCAGGGACAUCUCGACAAGGUUUAGCUUGACCCUUACCAAUUUCUCCAACCUCACCUACAGGAAUAUCAUUAACUACUCGGUUCAUCACAUCCUGAUUGAUCACAUUAUACUUUGUUUUCCUCCUUCAAUUUGCACGACCUGCUGAUCACCCACAACUUCUUUUGUUGCAUCACCUCCUUGUUUACCAUCCUUUUCAGAUAAAUCCUUACCAAUUUGUCCAGCUCUUUUACCAAUUAAAUAAUCCCUUGCAUCACCUUGUAGUUUUUCCAUAACCGGACCAUCUGCCUCGACCAAAACAUGUCCAACGUGAACUGCUGCCCCUGUUACUUCCUCUGUCAACCCCUCUAUUCCAGCUUGUUCCUUCUUAAUUCGACACACCUUUUUGUCAUGUCCUUGAUGCUUGCAAUAAGUGCAAUAGUUAUGAAGGUUUUCAUACACCACCUCCUGAUAGUGCACGAUUAUUUUACCCGAAAUUCUAUCCACAAUCUGUAGCUUAACCUUCCUAGGAUGUUUGUCUAGUAAAUCAAGAAUAACAUUGACCCUAGCGACACUAGGUCGUGUUCUUUCUUGUGUUGCCUUGUCUACAGCAAGAGCCUUACCAACAGCUGAAGAGAUAGACAUUAACGACCUCUUAGCGAAGAAAUUAGGUGGCAAACCUGGAAAAGAAAUCCACACGGCUGCCAUGGACGUUUCCUCCUUCGGAUUAAAUCCUAACGUCCGAGGAAAAGUUCUAAAAAAGAAUUCAUCACCCUUAGACUUAAUAUAUCCAGUCGUCUUUGACAAGAACUGAACAUAAUCACUAUAAAGAUCAAAUCUAACUAACAGAUGACGGAAUUCAAGCUGUCCAAUGUUGCAGCCACCUUGAACGUCGAAUUGCGUCGAAAAUAUUUUUCUAAUCUCCUGUAAUUCAGGCUUUCCAUAAGAGAAUUUCUUCACGACAGCUUGAUAAGAAUGGACCUUGGGCCUAACUCAACCCCAAAAGCUAGCUUAUGAGGUGAGGAUNNNNNNNNNNNNNNNNNNNNNNNNNNNNNNNNNNNNNNNNNNNNNNNNNNNNNNNNNNNNNNNNNNNNNNNNNNNNNNNNNNUCUAGUAUCAGGGUUGUAGGAUAGGGGCUCCUAGAGUUUUUCGUACUCCUCACCCGGGGUUGGGUGAGGCUUGGCAGGGCUAUCCAUAGAUGGUUUGUGUUUUGGCUUGUGUCUUCCUUAUGGUAGUUAUUUUUAUGGUAGUUACUGUAUGAUAUUAUUGCAUGCUAUUUUAUUUAUGUUUCUUAUAUUUAGAUAAUUAUUUACGCUAUUUGAUAAGAAUGGACCUUGGGCCUAACUCAACCCCAAAAGCUAGCUUAUGAGGUAACGAUUGUCCAAGCCAUAUAAGGAGACCAAGGACCUCAAAUCCCUCCGAUGUGGGACAACUCAAGNNNNNNNNNNNNNNNNNNNNNNNNNAAAGCCAUAUAAGGAGACCAAGGACCUCAUAUCCCUCCGAUGUGGGACAACUCAAGAGAUUUUGGGUUGUCUCUCCCAUAGCCAAAGGCUGGGGAGAGCUUGCAGCAGCUGUGGCUGCCACGCGCACAAGAAACACGCAGAUUUCUAGAGAGAGAAAGAAUAGAGAAGAUGUACAGAGUGAAUAUUCUUUUUGUAAAGAAUAUGUAAUUGUUGAUCUCUUAUUUUUGUACAUGAUAUAAAUUUACUCAAAAUCCUAGCUUCAUGUUGUAUUUUUUAUUGUUUCUCUCAGGUUCUAGUUACUUAACAUUCCUAUCUCUUAAAUUGCACUCUGCUUUUACAACAAAAUGCGAGUGUAGCUACAACUUUCGUUAACACCUUUAUUAUAUUUGUAGGAAAAAAAAUUGGGGAGGAAGAUAAGUCAUGAUGAACUCUUCAUGGAGACUCACAUCCGGAAGAAGAAAGGACUGACAGUUCCAACUAGAUGGGUCGAGGACCAGGCAGAGCCUACACAUGUAAGUUUCAUAACUAUUAUAAAUGUUUAUAAUAUUAUAUAGUUACUAAUUUUCUAUCUUCUAAAUAAAGGGUCGCUACAAGAUCAAUUUGGCGGAAUACACUCAGAGCUUGCCACCGAAUGAGCAAGGCGAGCGACCGCCCAUUUUAGACGAAGAAGAGAAGAGGAUAUGGUUGGAUACUGUCUGUGGUCCUAAAAAGGGGAUAGCAUACGGCCUUUCAGAUAAAUUGUUUCGGCGCUACAGGACUGAUUGCAAGGUAUAGAGACUUCCGCUCAAGGUGAGACAAUUGAUAGUUCGGCUAUAUCGGCAAAGAAGAUCGCAAAGCUGAUAGCAGAGCUUCAAGAGACCAAGGCUAGUGAAAAGAAGAGAUUUCAUAUCCUUCAAGGUCAGCUAGAAAGGAGGGACAAACAAUUUGAUCUCCUUCAAGGUCAGCUGGCUUGUGGUGCUUUCCCCAUUCCUCGGACUCCUUCUCCGUUCCCACUUGCUAGCGAUGAAGGUCCUAAAACCGAAGAUGGAAAUGAUUGUCUUAGGACCGAAAAUGGAGAUGAUGCUACAUAAAAAAACAAUUUGAAUAUUGUGUAUUGUCAAAACAAAAUUGUGAACUUGUUAAUAUUUUGUUGUUGGUUAUUUGAAUGACGAUUACAUUGUUAUUUUAUUAUUGAACACUUUAAUAGUUGCUGUGGUUAUUAGUUGUUGGUUAGUUGUUGUUAUUUUGUUGGAUUUUCAAUAAGCUGUCAUUAUAGGAUGUAUACUGGUUUAAAUUGGCAAGUGGUGCAGCUUAAAAGCAGCUAUUUCUUGCCAAGUUCUUACCCAAAUUUCCGACUGCAUUCGGUCGGAAAUUAAUUUUUUUCCCUAGAAUUUCAUAAUUUCCAACCGAAUCGGUCGGAAAUUAUGAAUUCAUAUUUAUUUUUAAUAAAUUAAUAAUUUACAAAAAUUAUUUAAUUAAAUAAUAUUAUUAAUUUUUAAUAGUUUCGUUUGAUUUCGAUCAAAUUAAAUAAUAAUAUUUUUCGAUCGAUUUCCGUCGAAAAUUUGAAAAUUAAAAUAAACAUUUAAUAGUGUGACUGGUAGUCCACGAGUUGAAUUUUCUGACCGGUUUCGAUCGAAAAUUUCAGACCAAUUGCGGUCGGUGUACUUUUGCGACCAUUAUUUUUUUGUCCAAUUAAAAGCGGUCGGAAUUAUGGACGAAAAUCACGUAAUUUCUAGUAGUUUUUUCUUUUUUUUAAGAUUUGAUGUUCGAAAGCAUAAUUAAAAUUGAAAAAAUUCAAUUCUCGAAAUUUGAAUGGUACAAAUUACAUUGAGUCCUAGGGAGCAUAUCGAUACAGAAUUAUGAUUUUAUUCUUUAUUACCCCUCUACUAGAAUGUGUUAUAAUUGUGCUUUUGUGUUUCGCUCACUUCUAAAGAAAAUUGAUGUAGAUAAGAAAAGGAGUCCCAAGUUGAACUCGAAGACGAGUCUAAGGCUAACUAUAUAAUAAACUUGUAAAUAAUAACCUAUACAAAUUGGGGUAUUCGUAUUUAUACAUGUUUUUUGAGUCUUGUUUUAAUUUAUGUCUGCUUUGCAAAAUAAAAUGCAAGUGUACUUACUUUUUCGCGUAAUUUCAGGAUAGGGAGCUGACGUAGCAAAGGCAAUCAUGUAAAACUUCAGGAUUCUAGUAGACGGGACUGAAGUGUGCUGAAGUUUUUAUUUUGUAACUAACGAACUUCUAAAGUUUUAUUUUUUGUAACUGAAGAACCUCGGCUCUAGAGCUCAUGUUUUUCUUUUAUAACUGUUGAACUUCAGCUCUAGAGCUGUAGUUUUUGUUUUUGUAACUGACGAAUUUCAGCUGUAGAGCUGAAGUUUUUGUUUGUAACUGGCGAGCCUCAGCUCGAGCUACAGAGCAAUCAAUCAAUGCAAACAUCAAACGCUAAACUUGUUGAUGGAUUCCCUCCUAAAUCUGUUACAUAAUUCACAUUGAACAGACACAAAAUUAAACAAACUAUACUAUCAAAUAGAGCUCAACACAACAUUAUUUUAUGUAGAAAGUAGCUAACAUACGAGGGUGGUUUUGUUCGCCAUCGAUGUAUUUAUGAAGUGACCCGCCAGCAAGUCCUAGUACUAUUAAAUAAACUACCAAAUUUAUGACUAAGAAUGGUCCCAUUAGGCUUCUGCCGCCCCUUCCGUUCGCCAUUAUUUGAUUAACUUUAUUAAGCUCAGCUGAGAGUAAUUAGAGUUCCACUGCUUUUGCUUGAAGUAUUGAUUGUUGCAUGUCUGGUUUUCUCCUGAAAAUAGGAGUUGAGUGUUUUGGUUGUUAGGAUACGUGGUCGCUUCAAGUGGACUCCAUUGCUGCACUUUACAGGGGUUACAACUUGAGGAGGAGAAGGAGAAGGAGAAAUGGGCUGAAGUUGUUUAAAAAAUAGGUACAAGUUAAAAGUUUUUAAAAAAAUUGGUAUAAGUUAAAUGGGGACGACCAAAUAGAGCGUCUCGUGCAAUUUUUACAUACAAAUUGUACAUAAUAACCUAUCAUGUAUAAAAUAGCCUAGCACAUGCGGGUCUUGGCAUUGGGCGGGCUAGGUUGGGCCGGUCUAUUAUUUUGAUGGGUCUUAAAAUUAAGAAAUUUUUUGGUUCCUAUACCAUAUAGGAAAUUAUAUUACAAAAAAUGUUAAUGAUUUGUAAAUUACCCGCCCUGCUAACAGUUUUUCUACAAAAUAUAAACACCUCAUUUAAAACAGAAUUUUGUUACUUGUACAAUUCCUUUAAUAGGCGCGCGAAUAUUGAAAUAUUAAGGGUUCUUUCCGAUUUUAUCAAACGCAAAUCUUGCUAUUAAAUUUCUCCCAUUUCUCUCCAAUCAAUAAAUUUCGCCCGUUUCACUCCAAAAAUUCACUAUUCUGUUUUUAGGCAAUACUUUGUUUCACUAGUUUUUCUGAUUUUACAAAUCAAAAGCGACUAAAUUAGCUAAAAUUCUUUUGUAACAACCGCAUUUAUGUCGAAAAUCUCAAUUAUGCUUCAACUGAAUGAGAAUUAGGAUAACUAUGAGAAAUAUAGAGACUUUCAGGUCGAUGAAUUGUAGUCGGCGAGGAUACGAGUUAUAGCCUAUUGAAUUCUAUGUACAACAGUACGUGAUUUCAAUUUGGAUUGAGUAUCACUAAUCCGAACACAGUUGCAAGUUUGUUCUAUUGCAUUACUAUCGAAUUUUGGUUGUAUAUUACUUAUCAAUAAAUUAUGUAUAAUUUUUCUAUUACGUGUCAAAGUCUAUAUGUACAUUAGUAUUGAAUUUCAUUCUAUCUACAUUAUUUCUACAAUAAAACUAUAUAUCAUUUGUAGCUCAAUAUGAAAUACAGAAUUUUAAUAUUUUUACAAAUUAACUACAAAAUAUCUACAAAAAAAAUAAAAGAUUAUUUAGAUAUUUUGUAUUCUGAUUGUAAUCUUAUUUUUUAUUUGUAAUGUAAUUGUAGGUGAGGAUUUCAUAUCAUAUCCAUACAGUGAUAGAUGGUGUGAAGCGCUAUAUUGUUUGUCUCAAAAACAAUAGCUAUGGACAAUUCCAGUUUGAUGAACUUCCUUGUGCACAUGCUUUGGAUUCUUCAAGGCACAGGAAUGAGUCUUAGGAAAACUAUUGAUGAGUUCAAGAGAAUUAUAUUUGAUGUAUAAUAGUUUAUGCACCUUCAACUCUUAAUGUAGUUAGUUUGAAAUUAUUUUGUUUAAUUAGUAUUCUGUAUGGAGUUAAUACUUUUUAUAGCUUGAUUGGUUUGUGAAUGAUUUUGAUAUAUAUAAUACACAAUUGUUUUAUUAUCUCUAGCACCCAUCGAUAGUUGUUAAUGAUCCUUAUAAUUUAUCUACCAAAAAACUACAAAAUAACUACAUAAUCUGGAGUUGAUGAAGUAACCACAUAAUAAUUAAGUUGAAAAGGAGUUAACCAAUAACAAUAAUUAGAUCAAGUACUGUUUACUUUCAACAAGUGAAAUAUAAAAACAACAUAAUGUUUUCCCAUUGUUCGAACUAGUAUACUGGAUAAAAUAAAAAUAAAGGGUAAAAUAAUUGUAGCACAAAUCUACUACAAUUAAACUUCAACAAUCUUGUUCAUAAACUUGUCUACUAGCUUUUUACAAAAUUAGCCGCAACUAAAUAAUUUAACUACAUGUUCCAUACAAAAAAAUGCAACUAAUUCUUCUUUCUCCAGACUUGUGUUUUCUCGUUCACAAUUGAUGCAUUUUUUUUCCUUGCUAAGUUGCCUGUCACAUCACUUUCACUAAUUGCACCAUUCUCUUGCUUUUUCCUAGCAUAGUCCCACAGUAGUGCUCCAUAGUUUAUACGAUGUUGCACCAAUCUCUUAUUAAUACACUGCUCCAAUCUAAAAAAAAAUAACAUAUCUACAUUUGUCAUACAAAUAUAUCUAUUAUAUAUUUACAACUACAUAAUACACUUAAUUUGGCUAGGAAUACUAGGGUCACAUAAUGUUUGGAAUCUAAGCACCACAUAAUCAACAUUAAAAAAAAAGUACAACCCAGUAUAAUCCCACUUAGUGGGGUCUGGAGAGGGUAGUGUGUACGCAGACCUUACCCNNNNNNNNNNNNNNNNNNNNNNNNNNNNNNNNNNNNNNNNNNNNNNNNNNNNNNNNNNNNNNNNNNNNNNNNNNNNNNNNNNNNNNNNNNNNNNNNNNNNNNNNNNNNNNNNNNNNNNNNNNNNNNNNNNNNNNNNNNNNNNNNNNNNNNNNNNNNNNNNNNNNNNNNNNNNNNNNNNNNNNNNNNNNNNNNNNNNNNNNNNNNNNNNNNNNNNNNNNNNNNNNNNNNNNNNNNNNNNNNNNNNNNNNNNNNNNNNNNNNNNNNNNNNNNNNNNNNNNNNNNNNNNNNNNNNGCAUCCUUACCUCCAAGAACUACCCACCUUUGCUCUUGGGGAGACUCGAACUCACAACCUCUCGGUUGGAAGUGGGGGUUGCUUACCAUCAGAGCAAGUCCCUCUUGUCCCACAUAAUCAACAUUAUGGGAUGCAAAACAAUGUCCAUUCUACACAAAAUAUAAAUAAUCUCAUAUUAAUUCAGUGCUUAAAAAACAUAGAUAUAUUUGUAAUUUAUAUACAGAAUAACUACAAAAAAUCUACAAUUUUAAAUAGCUAUAAUUAAUCUUUAAAAUGAAGACAAAUAAUCUAUAAGGCAAAAAAAAGAUACAGACUAUGUAGAUUUUUAACAACUAAAACAAAUGAAAUAACUAGUGAAGAAAUUACUAAAUUCUUACCUUCACCAAUGACUGUUUUCGAACAUUUUUAGGAGAUUUAACACGAGGGGAUUCUUUUGAAUUUUUCUUCUUUUUGGGAGUUUUUACACUGGGAGACACCUUUGCUUUCUUUCCAGGUUUACUGAUAGGCACAUAUUCUACAAAAUUAUCAUCAGCUUCUCCAGCUUUUUUAGGACUGUGCUUUAAAGGGUUGUUCUUCUUUGUUGAAAAAAUUUGAAGCUGAAGGGAAAUGUGUGUAUGAACUUUGAAAAAUUGACUUCAAUUUUGAUUAAUUGUAGAACAAAAAACUUGAAAUUAGAUGUUAAUGGUGGGGGUUACUUAUGUUUCUCUGGUUUAACAUAGGAAAAUAUGUGAAAGAAAUGUGAAUGUGGGUCUCGGAGAGAGAAACGUGUGUAGGAGGGGGGAAGAGAGAUUUGGAAAAAUAUACGGUACCAUUAAUUUAGGAGCGAUACGGUAUAAUUAGCCUUGCCUUACAUGGGCCACAGGCUGGCCCAUUUACAUUUCCAUCCUAUAUUGUCUUUUACCCAAUAAAUGAAGUUUGAAAAGUUGGCAUAACUUCUCUGCCUUCCUCUUAAUUAUUGGGGCAAGUGCACAUAUUAACAUUCUUUAUUUAAAGAUUGUCAGUAUUUUGUCCUGAAAUUUUAAAUAAAAAAUUUAAAUUUUAUAAUAAUUUAGGACAAUUUUUCCUAAAAACGUAAACUGAAAAAUUGAAAUUCAGGAUGCAUUGGCUAAUUUUCUAAAGAGCAGCCCUUUAGAGUGAUUACAUGGUGUUAUUUCCAUUUAUAGCCUGUUUGGCCAAGUUUUUCUUUUUUUUUUUUAUCAAAAGCACUUUGGCCAAAAAUUGAGAUGUUUGGCCAAGCUUUUGGAAGGAAAAAAAGUACUUUCGUGAAGAAGCAGAAGCAGUUUUGGAGAAGCAGAAAAAGUAGUUUCUCUAAAAGCAAAAGCACUUUUCUGAGAAUUAUUUUUGAGAAAAUACAUUUAGAAGUAAUUUUUAAAAGCUUGGCCAAACACUAAUUACUACUCAAAAGUGAUUUUCUAAUUAAUUAGCCAAACACAAACUAUUUCUCACCAAAAGCACUUUUUACAAUAGUACUUUUGAGAAAAGCACUUCUCAAAAUAAGCUGAUUUUAGAAGCUUGGCCAAACAGGCUAUUUAUUAUUGAGAAAACUACUCUCUAUAGCCCCUCAAAAUUUUAAUAGCCCAUGUUUUCUCCUACUUACAAAAAAAUGGCUCUUCGGCCCAAACGUAUUGCAUAUAGUAGCCGAAAGGAAUAAGCAUGACAACAUAAACGCCUGUAGCUCAGUGGAUAGAGCGUAUUUUUCCUAAGCUGAAGGUCUCAGGUUCGACCCUACCGGCGCGAUAGAGCAACCCUUUUUUGCCUUUUUAAAUAUACUUCGGGAGCUGAUAAGUAUUAGCUAAUGAUUGAAUAAAAUAUGUAAUGCAGGUCAUACGAAAUGUCUAUUUUUGUAUAUAUUUUUUUUUAAUACAGUCUAUUUUUAUAUAUUUUUGUAUAAUAACACACUAUUUUUGUAUAUUUUUUGCAUAGUGACAGUCAAUUUUGUAUUUUGUUUAUAUAGUAACAGUCUAUUUUGUAUAUUUUUUGUAUAGUAAUAAUCUAUUUUGUAUGGUGACAAUCUAUUUUGUAUAUUUUUUGUAUAGUAAAUGUCUAUUUUUUAUAGUGACAAUCUAUUUUAUAUAUAUUUUGUAUAGUGAGAGCUAAUUGUAUAUAAAUUGUAUAGCGGCAGUCUAUUUAUUAUAUUUUUAUAUAGUGAUAGACUAUUUUGUACAUAUUUUGUAUAAUGACAGUCUAUUUAGUAUAUUUUUUGUAUAAUGAUAUUCUACUUUUGUAUAUAUUAUAUAUGAUGACACUCUAUUUGUAUAUAAAUUGUAAAGUGACGGUUUAUUUUGUAUGUGUAAUAUAUACACACCAUGUAUUAUCAUGUAUUUUAAGAUGUAUUCCCAAUGUAUCAUUAAUGUAUUCGAGUGCUUUUAUGUAUUCAAAGUGUACAAACUAUUCUACUAUAUAUAAAAUGAUGUGUAAAAGGUGUAUAUAUAUUUUAUGAUUUUUGAUUGUUCUAUAAACUUAUAUAUUUUUUGUAUAAGUAAUAUUAUAUGUUAUAUAAUUCCUUCGAUGGGUUCGAGGAGAAUGUUCCCGACUUACCUCGCUUCUACUGAUUUUUCAUUUUUGUCUUGUUGGCAAUCUAGUAAGUGUCAAGAAGUAAUUCCCAUAAGCAUUUUUCCUAAUUAUCAAUACAAAAAGUGAAUUGAAAAAAUAAAACCAAGUAGAAAAAAAUCGAACAAAGAAGAAGUCGAGAGAGACGUUAAUCUGAAAACAGUAGUAAUAUCAAAUUCGGCCAUUGAUGCAACUUCGAGAAAAUGGCCGGCGAAGGAAAAUAUAAGGUGGCCUGCAGCCGUACCUUAUUUUUAUGUUAUCUCUUAACCUAUAACUUAUUUUAAAAGUUAUUGAUUACGUAAUCAACUAACAAAAAAUUCGUAAUAAUAUGACCAUUAUACUUCUUCCAAAAUAUAUAUAAGUCUGUCUCUCCUUCGUAUUCUCAUAUUCAAAUUUCAAAUCUCCUCUGUUUCUCCUCCACCAGUCCGUCUCCCCGUAGAUCGCGUCUUGUAUUCAAAUUCAAAUUCAAAUACAUUAUAAGUAUUUUUUGAAUUAUAUGUUUUCUGAUUGAUUGAUUGAAGUUGUUUGAGCAACUUCACUGAUAUGCUGAAUUCGCAAUUCUAAAUCUAUUUGAUGAUGAAUUCUAACAUUUUAAGCUGAAGUUAUUUAGUUAACGAGCUGCCAAAUAAUACAACGAAGAAGAAAUUAUAUUAAAACGAACAUUAUGUAAUUGUCUUAAAACUUCGGCAUGGUUGUUGAAGUUUUUUUGUUAAUAAUUAAUAGCUGAAAUUUUCCUCGUAAACUGGGUAAAAAACAAUAAAACAUAAAUUAAAAUUUCAUACUGCAUCAAAAAACUUCGACAUAGUUGCUUAAGUUUUUUAGUUAUUACUUAAAAACUGCAGCAGAAGGAGCUGAAGUUUUCCUCCUACACUGGUUAAAUUAAAAUUUCAUACUGCAUCAAAAAACUUUGGCAUAUUUGCUUACAGGAGGAGCUGAAGUUUUCCUCAUACUUGCUAAAUUAAAAUUUCAUACUGCAUAAAAAACUUCGGCAUUGUUGCUUAGGCUUUUUAGUUAUUACUUAAAAACUUCAGUAGGAGGAGCUGAAGUUUUCCUCCUACACUGGCUAAAUUAAAAAUUCAUAGUGCAUCAAAAAACUUCGGCCUAGGUGCUGAAGUUUUUUACUUAUUACAUAAAAACUUUAGAAGGAGGAGCUGAAGUUUUCCUCCUCCUCUCCUAAAUUAAAAAAUCAUAUUGUGCCAAAAACUUCAACACUUACUGGCUAUAGUUUUUUUCCCCUGUAUUGAUGAACAUCAUACAAAAACUCCAGCCCAAUGUGCUGAAAUUUCUUAGUUCAUUUCUAAGAACUUCAGCAUUGAAUAAGUUGAAGUUUUCUGUGCAGGAUUGAUUAGUUAUGUCAUACAUCUUUUACCAAGAAACUUCAGCAGAAGAUGCCUAAGUGAUUUAGUUAAUUUGUAAAAACUUCAGCACAAACAACCUAAAAACUAUUCUAUUUCCUUUCCUAAUAAUUUUCACUAAACAUGAAUCUGCAGGAUGAGUUCGAUUUCCGUUGUUAUAAAUAUCAAUGGGAGUUGGACUACUGAUUUCAAAUACUUGGAUCAUGAUACAAAACUUGUUCUAGUUAAUAAGGGCAUAUCAUUCAAUACUUUCCUGAAGAAAAUUAGUGAAGUUGCAAAUAUUGAUUCAACCAGAUAUGCAUUAAAAGUAUGAUUUGAUAUCAAACUAAAUACAAGCAAAGAAAUGCUUGUAACUUCAUAUGAAGAACUCAAUACGUGUAUUCACAUUUGCUUACAACUGAUUCAGCCUACAAGAAUUUCCAUUUCGUCAUUGAAAAAAUACAACCUUCACAAUCUCUUGCAUAUGAGAUAGAUUCAAAACCUUUUGCUUACUAUCAACAUGAACUACGACAACCAAUAAUGGAAGUAGACAACGGGCAACAACCUUAUAACAUUACAGCUGUUUCAGAAUACAUAGUGCUCAAUUACCUCAUCCACUAAUAAAUUCGUACCAGUUUGUCGAUGACCAAGAAGAAGAAGGACACCUAAUAAUGCGAAUUAAUAAGCAACAAACAGUCCCAAAAAGCUUUUUGUUACCUUCUGCAAUGAUAAGAAACAAUGGAGAUGAAGUAAACACUGAGCUUAUACCGAUAACAUCCGAUAGAAUUGAAGAAAUUGCUGAAAGUUCUUGCGCUCCUCAGAAAUCAAGAGAAAGACUGAAGAGAAAGUUGAAAUAAUCUCCACCAUGUAAAAUACUUAGGCACAAUGCGCUGCCUGAGAAAGUAAGAGUUGGAUCCAUUUUUGAGAACAAACAAAACAUGACUAAAUUUUUCUGCAGCUUGGAGAUAAACAAAAAAGUUGAAUUCACUCCUGUUAGAUCAUGUUCUAAGAGAUAUGAGCUAAAAUGCAUCAUGGUCAAAUGUUGUUGGAAUGUACGUGCUACCAGAAUAAAAAAUUCUAUACUGUUCAGGGUGAUAAAAUAUCAUAACAUCCAUAAAUACUGGUUGAUGCAAGAAAAUGAGAUCAGAAGCAUGCUACAUCAAAUUUUAUAAGUGAAAAAAUUAUAGAACAUGUUCGAGACAAAAUGAUAGAGGUUACACCAGUCUUUGUAGAAAACGAAAUGAAAAAGAAAUUUGGAGUUGACAUUAGUUAUCACAAGGCAUGGCGUGCCAUUCAAAAAGAUGUUUCUUGCAUAAGGGGAACACCUAAAGUGAAUUACCAGAUUCUUCUUUCAUACCUACACAUGAUGGUGGCCAAAAACUCAGGAAUGUACACAAGCAUAAAAAGAGAUGCACAGAAUAGGUAAGCAAAACAAUACUAACCAUCAGCCCGAAGUUACUAUUUAGAAAACUUCACACCUUAUGAUUUGUUUUUUUGUGUAUCAAUAUAUAGAUUUGCUUACAUAUUCUUUGCUCUGCGCCAUCAGUAGCUCGUUAGUCCUACUAUAGACCCGUUAUUGCAGUAGAUAGAAUGUUUUUGAAGUCAAAAUAUCAUGGUGUUCUAUUUGUUGCUAUAUCAAAGGAUGCAAACAAUAAAUUUUUUCCUCUAUGUUUCGGUAUAGCAGAUUCAGAAAACAAUGAGGCAUACAUUUGGUUCUUCGGGGAAAUGAGAAAAGCAACUCAAGCCCGUCAUGAACUGGUUUUCUUGUCAGAUAGAAACCAAUCAAUCGCAAAUGGUAUUAGAAAAGUUUUUCCUGAAGCUCACCAUGGUAUAUGCAUGUAUCACUUUGAGAAAAAUUUGAAGCAAAAACAUGCAACGGCUAUGGUAAUAAAUCUUUUCCAAAGUGCUGCAAGGUCAUACAAACGUGAAGAUUUUAAUCAGUUAAUGUCCCAACUCAAAAGUAUGACAAAAAAACAUACAAUUACAUAAUAGAAGAGGCUCCCGAGAGAUGGUCUUGAUUGUGGUUCCCACGGCAACAUUAUGAUAUAUUAACAACAAACAUGGUAGAAUCAAUGAAUUCCGUUUUACUAAAAGGGAGAGAAAUGCAUAUUUUAAGAAUGUUAGAUUUCAUCCAAGAAAAAUUGGGAGAGUGAUUUUACGAACGGAGAAAAAAGGCAAAUGAAACUUUUCAUAGAAUAUCAAUAUGGGCAGAAGAGGAAAUGACUAAGAAGAUGGACUUGGCUUACAAAAUAUUUGUGAGUAUAUUUAUUAACUUCAGUUGUUUAAUCUGUUGCACUGAUUUACUGCUUACAUUUAAAAAGAUCCAUACUUUUCUUUUUGAAGGAAAAAUACAUUAAUAUAACUUGUCUCAAUUUUUUAUUCCUUGUUAGGUGUUCAACUUUGACUCAAUGUUGUUUAGAAUAAAUAGUGAAGGAAUCGAAUUCAUUGUGGACUUAAAGAAGAGAACUUGUGACUGCGUGGAAUUUUAACUUGAUGAAUUGCCAUGUUCACAUGUAAUUACUGAUAUUAAUAAGAGAUAUUUGCGGAAAUCUGAUUACUGCUUUCCAACUUGAUGAAUUGCCCUGUUCACAUGCAAUUGCUGCUAUUAAUAAGAGAUAUUUGUAGAAAUCUGAUUACCGCUCAAAUUGGUAUUCAAGGAUAACAUGAUUGAAAACAUAUGAAAGACAUGUGAAUGCCGUGGGAGAUCAAAAAUCAUGGUAAAUACCAUAAAAUGUACGAUCUGAGAUCACAAAACCUCCUGAUGUAGAAAUUUUACAAGGAAGAAGACAAAAGAAGAGGUAUAUACCUGCAACUGAAUCAUCAGUACCAUUCAAGUCUACCAAAUGCAGUCGAUGCAAACAAGUUGGUCAUAACAGAACAACUUGCUUGUCUUCUCCAGCACCUCAUCCAUAUUCUAAGAAACACACUGAAAAGUACUCAAAUCUUCAAUAAUCCUUGGUCUGAAUUUAGACUUUUUUUAUUAUAUGACAUAAUUGAAAUGUGAUUUUUUCAUAUGAAUUAAUAAUCCUUAGUCUGAAUUUAGACUUUCUUUAUUAUAUGACAUAAUUGAAAUGUGAUUUUUUUCACAGGAAUAAAAAAUAAGGUCUUGGACACUUUUAUAUACUGCUAAAGUACGCAAUGACUUCUACGAAAAAAACUUCAGAUUGCAGUAUGUGAAAUACAUAUCCUUAAACAAACACACACACACACACACACACAAACUUCAACACCUCAUAAGCUGAAGUUUUUGUAUUGGAUUCAAUAGUUUUUGUCUUAAGCUUUUUCAAACAACUUCAGCCCAAUCUACUGAAGUUCUUUAGUAUAUUUCCAACAACUUCAGAACUUGAUCAGCUAAAGUUUUUUGUUGGAUUCAAUAGUUUUUGUCUUAACCUUUUUCAAACAACUUCGGCCCAAAGUGCUGAAGUUUUUUAGUAUAUUUCCAAAAACUUAACCACUUAAUAAAGCUGGAGUUUUUUUUUGGAUUAAAUAUUUUUUGUGUUAAAGCUUUUUCAAAAAUCUUCGGCCCAGUGUGCUGAAGUUAUUUAGUACAUUUCUAAAAACUUCAGCAGUUGUUAAGCUGAAGUUUUUGUCCUGGACUCAAUAGUUUUUGCAGUAAAGAAUUUUCAAAUAACUUACGCAUAUGCUGCUGAAGUUAUUUAGUGUAUUUACUGAUGAGCUGAAGUUUUGUCCUACAUUUGACACUUUAGUUAUGACUUUUAACCAAACAUUUAGAUUAAAAGCAAAAGUUAUUUAUUUCAUGCUCAAGUUUAGCAUGUUGAAUUUCAACAAAAAUAUACUUGAUAUUAAUGAAAAAAAGAUGUAAAUAUAUUUGAAUCAAUCCAAGUCACAUUAUUCACUCAAAAUAAUGUAUAUUCAUAAAAUACAAUUUUGUUUUCACUUACAUCCUUCGAAAAAAAGAAAAAAAUUAGUUCUUUGUAUACAAGUUAUUCUCUAUUUAAAAAAGUCACAGAGUAACUUCAUAUUCUCCAUAGCAAUGUCCUAGUUUCUCUUCUUGGUUUUCUUAACCACAUUCCAUGAACCAUCACUAUGUCUUCCACCAUAGCAUUUUCUGUCAGACGCAGGUUGACGAAGUUUAGUACUAUAAUUUUUUUAGCAACUACCAUCUUCUUUCUUAAGAAAAAAAUAAGAAAAUAUUGGCCAAAGACAUGCUGACUGGUGUGCAUAUGGAAAUUCGUGGGAAACAAAUAUAGUGAAGGAGAGGACCAUAAUACUUCACAUGUGACGGAGACUGGUCACAUCAAAAACUCGAGCCCCAGGAAAUUUGCUCUUUUUUCUAAAAGUCAGAUUUAUCAACUAGUAAAAAGAACAAAUUAUCCUCGUGCUUUAGUGUUUGAUCUGGCCACUCUCCUUCACAUAUGAAGUAUUUCGACUUCUCCUUCACUAUCUUUGCUUCCCACGAAUUCCCUGCUACACCCAAUAAGUAUGUCUUAGCCAAUAUUUUCUUGUUUUUCUUUGAAUAUAAAUUUGAAUAAAUAUGAUAUAAGUCUAUGGAUGACCAUGAAAUUUUCAAUUGAAGAGAUUGUUUAUAUAGUCAAAGAAUGCAGCUAAUCAUUUCAAUAUCUAUAAAUGUUGAAGAGAUUGUUACAUGUUUUUUUUCCAGAGAAAUUGAAUGUAAGAACAUAAGUAGUUGGUAAAUUCAAUAAAAAAAAUAGUAAAAAAUAAGGCCACAAAUAGUAGUAAAUACACGUCAUAAAUCACAAAGAGAAUCUAGAAAAUGCAAAAAAAAUCGGCCCAAUGUGCUGAAGUUUUCCAGGAUAUUUCUAAAAACUUCGGCACCUGAAAAGCUGAAGUUUGUGUGAUGGAUUCAUUAGUUUUUGUCCUAAAGCUUUUUCAAAAAACUUUGACCCAAUGUGCUGAUGUUUUUCAGUAUAUUGGAAACUGAAGUUUUUGUCUUGGACUGGAUAGUUUUUGUAGUAAAGAAUUUUCAAAAACCUUCAGCCCAAUGUGCUGAAGUUUUUUAGUAUAAUUCCAAAAACUUCAGCACCGGAUAAGCUGAAGUUUUUGUGAAGGACUCAGUAGUUUUUGUCUUAAGCUUUUUAGAAAAAUUUCAGCCCAACGUGAUAAGUUGUUUAGUAUAUUUCUAAAAACAUUGGCACCUGAAAAGCUGAAGUUUGUGUGAUGGAUUCAAUAGGUUUUGUCUUAAAGCUUUUCUAAAAAAAUUCGGCCUAAUGUGUUAAAGUUUUUUAGUAUAUUUCCAAAAACUUCGGCACAUGAGAAGCUGAAAUUUUUGUGAUUGAUUCAAUAAUUUUUCUCCUAAAGCUUUUUAAAAAAACUUCGGCCCAAUGUGCUGAAGUUUUUCAGUAUAUUUAAAAAAACUUCAGCACCUGAUAAGCUGAAGUUUUUGUGAUGGAUUCAAUAGUUUUUCUCCUAAAGCUUUUUCAAAAAACUUCAGCCCAAUGUGCUGAAGUUUUUUAUUAUAUUUCCAAAAACUUCAGCACCUGAUAUGCUAAAGUUUUCUUAUGACUUUUAAACAAAACUUUAGCUUAAAAAGCGGAAGUCAUACUUAAGUUUUUUCAACAAAAAAUGUACUUAAAAUUCAUGAUAAAAGACACAAACAUAUUUGUAUGACACAAAAGUGAACUAAAAAUAUAAUUAAUGUAUAUUACAAAAUCUAAAUUAUGUACAACCAAUCCUCUAAUAAAACAAUUCACAUAGAGUAUCUUCAAAAUCUCCAUAAUCAUGUCUUUCUCGUUCUUCUGGAGUUUCAUAUUCGCUAUAUUUUUUCCACUUUCCAUGAGCCCAAAGAUUGGCAACCAAUUCUCGACUAAAUGACAAUAUUUGACUUUGAUCAAAAUUGAAGACAUCUUCUCUCUUCAACCGCAAAUCAAUAAACUUAAGAACAAAUAUACCAGAAUCAACACUGAAAAAAACACAUGAAAAAGAAAUUAAAGAAUAGUUAACCCAACGGCAGAAAUUAAUAAACAUAAGAUGUAUGGUAAAAUAUAUGUGAAACACGUACUUGUUAGUUUGUUCUGGUGUGUUCAUCCACAUAAUAUUGAAUUUUUCCACAGGAUUUUUCCCAUAAUAUUCAUUAUGUUCCCCAAAAUUCAAGCAAUUGAAACAGUGUGGGAUCAACCAGGCAUAAAUUCUGACAUGUUGAAUUGAACGGUCGUAUGUUACACUGCCCAUGGAAUCAUACACAGAUAUAAUUUUAUCUUUAAAGUGCAAAAUUCUGAAAAAGUAGUGGGUAGAUUUUUGGACCUCUCUUGGCUUAAGUCGAAAUGGAAAGAAUACUUUUUUGGCAGAUGCCCAUAGAUACCACAUGAAAGGUCGAGGCGUUUUACGUAGUUGACCACCUUUUCAUUUGUUGAUUAUUCCUCAUACCAACUAAAGUACGUAAGUGGCUUAAUAAGCGCUUCUUCUUCUUCUUCUUCUUCUUUUUCAAGUUGUUGUUUGGAUAUCCUCUUUCUAUUUGAUUUACUCUUAAGAACAUCCAUUCUUGUUUGCUUCAUUUUGUUAAUUAUCUUCAUCUUUUCUUCUGACGGAUGAAUACUAUCCAGGAUAAUCAUAUAUUGAUCGAAAAGUAAAUCUGCUACUGCACAUCUUGAUUUGAAUAAUGUGGAAGGUGAUAGCAAUAUUUUUUGCGCAAGUAAUAAAUGCCUACAUUAAUAUGCUGAAAAUGAACAACGAAAAGUGAUAACAUGUAAAAUUACUACUAUGAAGUUUAUAAAAAAACACAUUAUACAACCACAAAAGAGCAUGACAAAAACUUAAGCAUAUUUAAUUGUUAGGCUGAAGUUUUAGCAAAUAAGCUAAAAAUCUUCAGCAGUUUACUAUGAAUAAUUCCAUACAAUAAAAAAUAAGAUGAACUUUUGGGAAAUACAGUUGAAAACUAAUCCAAAAAAUAAACUUAAUAACUUGCUUCAUCCGCAAAAUCAAAGUCAUAAUCCAUAAGCUCAGUACAGAAAGAUUUCGGAAUAUCAAGUCCACCUAAUCUGAAUGGAUUGGAUUCAUAUUCACUGGAAUGCAUCUCUAACAAAUCUUUAAAUCUCUUAAUCAAUCCGAUGUCUUGACUAACAUAAUGGAAUGGACACCUUCUUCUAUUCUUUCCUACUUUCCAAUCUUGCCGCCUUUGCUUUUUCUUAUAAACUACGUAAGGAGAUCUUAACCAAAGACUCUCCAUACAAAUCAUUUUCCCCUUUUUAUCUAAUUUUGUUUUUGCUUGCUCUUCCUACUGUUUAAUAGCAACUAAAUGCUUAUGUUCAGCAGCAGGGGGAAAACUACAGCUAUUGUCGCAGAUGCUUGACCAAUUCCCUACUGUUCACGAUGUUCUUCUCUCUCUUCAAGAACAACAACAGUAACAGAAUUACCUUCUAAAUCACCCCCUUGUGUACUAUCAAGUGAAAAUGAACAUAAAUUGAAGUUGGGGAUAUCACUGGUGUGACACAUAGGAGAAGUAGAAAUCUUCCUUCUCUUAGGUUUUGGAAGAAGUUCCGAUGCAUCAGAUGAGAUCUGCAAAAGCAAGGAAAAUAUAAACAUAAAUAAAACUGAUAAAGAACAUACAUUAGGCAAAAAAAAUAGUUAUCAAGAUCUGCAAAAGCAAGGAAAAUAAACAUAAAUAAAACUGAUAAAGAACAUAUAUUAGGCAAUAAUAUAGUUGUCAUCGAAUUGCAGAAAAUAACUACCUGGUCUAAGUAUUACGACACACAUGGUGUUUGCAUUCCAACAGAUCUUGUAUCUUCAUGCAAAACAAAAAGAUAAUAAAUGAUACUGACAAAAUUUUAUAUAAUAAAACCAACACACUUCACACCUGACUGUGAGUUAAUAGGUGUGAAUAUAUGUAUUUCUCCUUUUUGAUAUUGCUGCACAAGCUCACCAAAUUCUUUUUGAGCUGCCUCCAUUCUUUCUGAAAAAUCAUUCAAAAACAUAAAAAAGAAAAUAAAAUAUGUAAAAUUUCAAACUGUAAAAAAUAUACUUCAAUCAAAUAUAAUAAAUUCAUGAUCUAUAGAAUACCUUGACGUUUGUCUUCAACUAGGCUGCAUGCCUUUCUCAAUAUAAGCAUUUUCAGCAUCAUUCAAUUGUGAACCAAUGUCGAGGACCAUUGCAGUAUUUUCUGGAAGGUUUUUCACAACUCUAACUUCAUUCAAUUGAGCAUCAUCAGAGAGUUUUUGAGUUGAACCACAACUAGUUUCAACUUCAAGUGCAUAUUCAUAAAAGAGGGGGAAUAGAUCAACUAGUUUCUCUACAUAUAAAACAUAGAAAAGAUUUAUUUCUGUAGUGAAAAUUUAACUACAUGAUAUUAUAAAAAAAAUAGUUAAGACUUCAACUCUAAGAAAGUAAAAUUUAGCCAGUCACAACAAAAACUUCGAUAGUUACAAAAAAAAACUUCAGCUUUAGAGUUGAAGUUCGACAAUUAUAAAUAAAAAACUUCAGCUCCAGAGCUGAAGUUCGACAGUUAUUAAAAAAACUUUAGCUCUAUAGCUGAACUUUUUACAAAACAUUCACCAAAAAACUUUCACAGUUACAAAAAAAACUUUAGCUCUAGAGCUGAAGUUCGACAGUUAUAAAUAAAAAACUUUAGCUCUAGAGCUGAAGUUCGACAGUUAUUAAAAAAACUUCAGCUCUAUAGCUGAAGUUUUUAUAAAACAUUCACCAAAAAACUUCGACAAUUACAAAAAACUUGUUUUACAAAAGAUUCACCAAAAAACUUUGAUAGUUAUAAAUAAAAAACUUCAGCUCCAGAGCUAAAGUUUGACAGUUAUUAAAAAAACUUCAGCCCUAUAGCUGAAGUUUAUCUAAAACAUUUACCAAAAAACUUCCAAAGUUACAAAAAAAAAAAACUUCAGCUUUAGAGCUGAAGUUCAACAGUUAUAAAUAAAAAACUUCAGCUCUAGAGCUGAAGUUCGAUAGUGAGCUGAAGUUUUUACAAAACAUUCACCAAAAAACUUCGACAGUUACAAAAAACUUCAGCUCUAUGCUAUAGUUUUUACAAAACAUUCACCAAAAAGCUUCGACAGCUACAAAAAAAAAACUUCAGCUCUAGAGCUGAAGUUCGACAGUUAUAAAUAAAAAACUUCAGCUCUAGAGCUGAAGUUCGACUGUUAUUAAGAAAACUUCAGCUCUAUAGCUGAAGUUUUUACAAAAAAGUCACAAAAAAACAUGUUGUAGUUUUUACAAAAAAACAAACACAUGAAACAAAAUUUCUGCUCCUAUCUAAGGUAUAAUUGAAAUAUUAUAAACUUCAGACUUUGUACCUAUAGUAACAAUUUCCUGCAUAUCACCACCUACAAGUUCUUUGCAAAUGGCUAGUGCUCCUGCAUAUCGAUCGUCUUUCCCAAAAUAUCAUGAAUAUGUGCUUGAUCUCCAUUACCUUUUCCAAUAUCACUUCCCAAAGCGCAACUCGGUGCAUGUUUUUGAUGAACAUGUUCAACAGCCGCUUCAUUAUGCAUAGCAUUAUCAUCUGCAACUUUACGCAAUGCAUCAUGAGCAGUAUGUUCUUCAGUCUCAACAACUUGAUUAUCUAUAACUUGCUUGGUUCCAAUAUUCUCAGUUGAUAAAUGUGCUUCAUCAUUUACAUCUCUGCUCAAUCUAUUAGCACUGCAACAUUGCUCUUCAACUUGUUCUUGAACAUUUUGAUCGCCUUCAAAAGCCGGUGGAUCUUCGAAACAGUCAUUCAUCUUGUCAUAUUCUCGAUCCAUUCUAUUUGAUUUGUUGACAAUCGUAAACAACUGUUCAAACUUCUCAUUGAAAUAUUCUGUCAUAUUCUUGGUGCUUACUCAAACCAUUUCGUUUAUUGACAAUCAUAAACAACUGUUCAAACUUCUCAUCGAAAUAUUCUAGAGAAAAAUUACUAAUAAUGAUUAAUCUGAAUAACAUCAACACAAAUAAAAAGACUUCUCUAUAAAUUAGCUUACCUUCACUUUUACAAAAACUGUGUCAACAAUAGCAGUUCGCUCCUCCUUUUUAAACUUAUCAAAAACUUCAAUCACAAUCAUGCUUCUUUCUUUUUCUGCAUGCCUUUGAACCUCCAUCAUUAACCUCUAGAAUAGAUAAACAACAAAAAUUCAGAUAUAGAAGAAAAACUUCAGCUCAACAAACAGCUGGUACUUUUUACAAAAACAAACCCAAAAAACUCCAGAUCAAAACUUACAGAGCAUAUUGUGUCAAGUAAUUCAUUGUCAGAUGUAGACGAGGUAGAACAACUCUUGGUACGAGAUGCUUCGCCAAUAAAAUGAGGUGGAUUCUGUUCUUUUGGUUGAUUCCGAGUACGUGGUGAUUCACCGAUGACAUGAGUUUGAUUCGGUUCUUUUGAUCGACUCAGAGUAGGUGGUGAUUUACCAAUUAUAGGAGUUCGAUUCAAUUCUUUUGAUGGACUCAUAGUACGUGGUGAUUCACCAGUUGAAGGAACUAGGUGGUGAUUUACCAAUUAUAGGAGUUCGAUUCAAUUCUUUUGAUAGACUCAUAGUACAUGGUGAUUCACCAGUUAAAGGAACUGCAUCAACUACAUUUGAAGAAUCCGGCUGCACGGUAAUUUCCCAAUUAAAGACAUUAAAUUCAAUUCCUCUUUUGGAGGAAUUAUAUCCAAUACCCUAAAGUCGUGAUAUCUCUGUUUAAUACAAAAAUAUAUUAUGAGGACAAAAAAACUAAUACAUCAGCAUAUUAACACAAAGAUAAAAAAAAAAACUUACUUCAUGAGUUUUGAACAUAUAAUAAAGUUUGGAAAAUUUAGGCUCUCCCACGCAUACAUAGCGUAACAUACUAGGUACUUAAGGUGUAUCAAGGUACUCAUCCUCUCUUAUAUACUUCUCUCGUACAUCUGGGAAGCGCUCAUAGAACCAAGCACAUAAUGGAUAUAGAAAUCCACCAAGUUUAUACUCAGUUGUAUGGAAUUUGUUCUGCUUGUCCAAUGCCUGUUUAAGGGAAUAAAUGAGCCUCUCGUAAGCAAUAUUACCCCAAGGAUAUUCAGCGCAAACCUUAUCAUCUUCAACAAUAGAUGCAUACUCCUCCACCACAAAUAACUCAGUAUUUUUCCCAUACAUAAUAGACUCUACAACAAGAAUUUCCUUAAGUUUAACUGCAUCAUCAUCACUCUCUCAUACAUGUACAUGAUUCACAACAUUCUUUGGAAUUUCAUUGCGAGUCAUAAAAUUUCGAAUAUCCUUCAAAGUCACACCCUUGGACUUACCAAAAUACUGCUUUAAAAGAUUGCUCUCUUGAUUAAUUGGUCUUUCAACAUUAUGUGAUGUGAUCCACAAAUAACACAUAAUGUGAAAGUCUUCAAGGGUGAAGGAAACAUCAUGCCAAAAAAUCUUGAAACUGAUGGAGUCUCGAUCAUUCGUGAAUAUUCGAGAAAGACACAGACAAUGCACCAACUUCAUGCUGCAUUGGAAAUUCUCCAUAACCAUAAUGUAUCUAAAUGUAUCAUUAUUAAGCUUAUCCUGUUGAAUAGGGGUCAAGAAAGUUGCAAUUAAUUUCUUCAAAUCAUGGUUCUCCUUCCAGUAAGCCUUAGAGUUAAACCAAUUGCCAAACUCAUAAUAUCUUUCUCAUGGUUUGUAGGUGGAGCAGAGGGGACAUAAGGACCUUGGGUAUUAAAGGUAGUCUAGGUGCUUUUGGGGCAUUGUCUUUUUUUAGUUGCAUUAGGAUCCUUAGGUGCUUUAGGAGCCAUCUGUUCAAAGAAAAUAAAAGAUACAAAAAAUAACAUCAAGACAUUAUUAAAAAGAUCAGUUAAAACUUAAUAGCUAAGAAGGAUGAAGUUCGAGAGGUAUAAAAUAAAAACUUUAGCUAUAGAGCUGAAGUUCGACAGGUAUAAAACAAAAACUUCAACUACAUAGCUGAAGUUCGACAUGUAUAAAAACAAACUUCAGUUAUAUAGCUGAAGUUCGACAGGUAUAAAAAAACUUCAGCUCUAGAUUCGACAGGUAUAAAACAAAAACUUCAGCUAUAUAGCUGAAGUUCGACAUGUAUAAAAAAAACUUCAGCUGUAUAGCUGAAGUUCGACAGGUAUAAAAAAAACUUCAGCUCUAGAGAUAGGACAUGUAUAAAAAAAACUUCCGCUAUGCUGAAGUUCGAAAGGUACAAAAAAAACUUUAGCUCUAGAUUCGACAGGUAUAAAAUAAAAACAUCAGCUCUUGAGAUGGACUUCAACAGUAACAAAACACAAAAACUUCAGCUGUAUAAAUGGACUUCACCAGUAACAAACACAAAAACAUCAGCUCCUAAAGCAUCACUUCACCAGUUACAAACACAAAAUCUUCAGCUCCUAAAGCAGAAAUUCACCAGUUAUAAGCACAAAAACUUUAGCUCCUAAAGCCAAACUUCACCAGUUACAAGCACAAAACAUUCAGCAAAACAAUAUGCUGUAAUUGUCAGUUCCUAAAGCAUGACUUCACCAGUUACAAACACAAUUUCAGCUCCAAAACUUCACCAGUUACAAGAACAAAAACUUCAUCUCCUAAAGCUAAACUUCACCAGUUACAAGCAAAAAACAUUCAGCAAAAAAUAUGCUGUAAGUUUUAUAGAAAACAAAACACAAACUCAAAUCCAAAAAUAAUGCCAAAAUAUGAAAAAAAAAAAAACAAAACUUCAGCUCAUAUCUAAGAUAUUAUUGAACAAUAAUCACAGAAGAAAUUAUAGAAUUUUCAUUAACAACAUAAACACUCAUUCAUAAAACCUAAAAACACAAUCGUAAAAUUAAAACUAAUGCACUUAUCAAACUAAACACUAUGAAAACAUUUUAUCAUAAAUACAUGACUAUCAAAACCAAAAUAAUAGAUUAAAUCGUAAAAUAAAACCCACAAAGUUAAUGCGAUGUACCUGUGAUUAAAUCGUAAUAUGAGAACAACGACGACUAGCAGUUGGAAAAUAAAAAACAACGAGGAAGCCGUUUGAUUUCAGAGAGGAACUUCAAAAAACGUGAAUAACGGGAGAGAGAGAGACAGAGAAAGUAGAGGACUAGCGAAUACGUGGAGAGAAAGUAGUCUUUUUAAUAAGGGCAAAAUGGUCUUUUCAAAUAGUUUUUAACAAAAAAUGGGUAUGAGUGCAAACAGAAAGACAAAGCGGCUAUAGCUUAAAAAGGGGGCCCCAAAUAGGGCGCCCUGUGCAAUUUUUACAAAAUACAAAGAGUUUAUUUCUUAUCUACGAUCCUUAUCUUCCAGCGGUAGAGACUUCAAUUUCACCUACCACCUUGCCUCCGAUCCUUCUUAGAUCUGGCCAGUUCUAAGAUUUUCCGGCGUUUUGUUAUUGUUUUAACGGGUAAAAAUCCAGAUCUUCUUAGAUCUAGGAUUUUCCGGCGACAGAAUUCGAUCUAUGAAGUUUUCGGCUAGCAUUUAUCAUUAUUUUUAGACUAUAAUUUGUAUGGGUCAAUUUAUAAAUUACCUGUUAAAACUUAUUUUACCUGAUAUGCUAUAAAUAAAGUUCUCUCUUAAUUAUUCCAUAUCAAUGCACAACCCAAUAGGUCCUAGCCGUUUGGGCUUGGCUCAUGUUUGGUGGUGGUAGUCCAGUUCAAGAUAAAAGAAAAGAGUAUUUUCUAUUGUUCACAUUUCUGCAUGAUAAAAAUUGACUUGUAGUGAUGGUGCAGUUUUUAACUUCCACUUGAGUAAAAAGAGAUUCUGAAUGUGAUGUGAUUUCAGUAGGGAUUUGUGCUGUAGUGUGGGAAUUAUUUUCUUUUCUUGCUUUCUCGGCUUGGUCUCGCUCCCUUCCCGCAUUAUUCCUCCCCACUAAAAAGAGCGAUUGAGAAUCUCGAGAACCUUUCCGAACGUCUGUCUUCGCGGGGCGAUUGGAAAAGAAAGGAGUAUUUAAUUCUUUUACUGCCUUCCAUUCCACUAUUCUGAUCGAAUUAAUUGCUCUUCCGAACGACCAAGUCAUAAUGAGAUUAAAAACCGAUGCUUCCUUGGCCGUGUGGAACAUGGAUUAGCAUUAUGUCAUUCCUACAA